UAGAACAUUCCACUCGAGAGGAAGAAGAAAAAAGGAAAGAAAGGGGGUUUGAUAAAUUUCACUCGAGAGCAAGAAAAAGAGAGAAAUAAAAGAAAGAAGAGAAAGGAAAGAAAGAAAGGAGAAAGGGGAAGGAAAAAAAAAAGGAGGGAAAAGCUUGGAGGAGGAGGUUCUGCCUUGGAGGAGAAAGGGAAAAUCGAGAGGUUUUCCUCCCCACCCACACACCAUUGUGAAAGUUUGAAAGGAUUUUGGUGGUUUGGCUUGUAGAUUUCAAGAUCAAUUAGAUUUGGAGACCAUUCAUUGACAUGCAAGUUACCAAACCCGUGGGUGUCGAGUGAAACUAAGGAAGUGCAAAAGUAAGGUAAUGUACUGUGGUGGCAUGCCGAAGGAAGCAACAAGCAACCGGCAAGUAGAAAUAGCGACUUAGUGUCCCACUAU
This is a non-coding RNA of Theobroma cacao (cacao), 435 nucleotides long. Lineage: Eukaryota; Viridiplantae; Streptophyta; Magnoliopsida; Malvales; Malvaceae. The record is from RefSeq and is a predicted model, not a curated record.